AGCAGCCGCGGUAAUUCCAGCUCCAAUAGCGUAUAUUAAAGUUGUUGCAGUUAAAAAGCUCGUAGUUGAAUUUCGGGGUCAGUAGGUCGGUCGUGCCACUGGUAUGAACUGGUUUCACUGAUUCCUCCCUCUUGUAGAACCGUGAUGCCAUUAAUUUGGUGUUGCGGGGAAACAGGACUGUUACUUUGAAAAAUUGAGUGUUUAAAGCAAGCUAACGCUUGAAUACAUUAGCAUGGAAUAAUGAAAUAGGACGUCUGUCUUAUUUUGUUGGUUUCUAAGAUGGACGUAAUGAUUAAUAGGGAUAGUUGGGGGCAUUAGUAUUCAAUUGUCAGAGGUGAAAUUCUUGGAUUUAUUGAAGACUAACUACUGCGAAAGCAUUUGCCAAGGAUGUUUUCAUUAAUCAAGAACGAAAGUUAGGGGAUUCGAAGACGAUCAGAUACCGUCGUAGUCUUAACCAUAAACUAUGCGACUAGGGAUCGGAUGAUGUUAAUUUUUAAUGACUCAUUCGGCGCCUUACGGG
Molecule: ribosomal RNA, 520 nt
Filed under: uncultured Glomus
Lineage: Eukaryota; Fungi; Glomeromycota; Glomeromycetes; Glomerales; Glomeraceae
Description: SSU rRNA
Rfam family: Eukaryotic small subunit ribosomal RNA
Source: RNAcentral